CCUACGGGAGGCAGCAGUAAGGAAUAUUGGUCAAUGGAGGCAACUCUGAACCAGCCAUGCCGCGUGCAGGAUGAAGGCCCUAUGGGUCGUAAACUGCUUUUACACAAGAGAAAACCCGAGUACGUGUACUCGGUUGAUAGUAUUGUGAGAAUAAGCAUCGGCUAACUUCGUGCCAGCAGCCGCGGUAAGACGAAGGAUGCAAGCGUUAUCCGGAUUCAUUGGGUUUAAAGGGUGCGUAGGCGGACCUGUAAGUCAGUGGUGAAAUCUCUUUGCUUAACAAAGAAACUGCCAUUGAUACUGCAAGUCUAGAGUAUAGAUGACGUUGGCGGAAUAUGACAUGUAGUGGUGAAAUACUUAGAUAUGUCAUAGAACACCGAUUGCGAAGGCAGCUAACGAAACUAUAACUGACGCUGAGGCACGAAAGUGCGGGGAUCAAACAGGAUUAGAUACCCUGGUAGUCCGCACCGUAAACGAUGAUUACUCGUUGUUGGCAAUAUGACCGUCAGCGACCAAGCGAAAGCGAUAAGUAAUCCACCUGGGGAGUACGCCGGCAACGGUGAAACUCAAAUGAAUUGACGGCUGAGAGNGCGAGGCGACACGAGGGAGGAGG
This 610-nucleotide ribosomal RNA is filed under the name uncultured bacterium. RNAcentral's name for it is "bacterial SSU rRNA". It matches the Rfam family "Bacterial small subunit ribosomal RNA", at positions 338 to 951 of the family's 1533-position model. The record is from RNAcentral.